This 446-nucleotide ribosomal RNA is filed under the name uncultured Anaerolineaceae bacterium. RNAcentral's name for it is "bacterial SSU rRNA". It matches the Rfam family "Bacterial small subunit ribosomal RNA", at positions 923 to 1378 of the family's 1533-position model. Lineage: Bacteria; Bacillati; Chloroflexota; Anaerolineae; Anaerolineales; Anaerolineaceae. The record is from RNAcentral.
GCACAAGCAGCGGAGCGUGUGGUUUAAUUCGUUGCUACACGAAGAACCUUACUGGGUUUGACAUAGCAGUGGUAGGGAAGAGAAACUCGGACCGACCUUCGGGGAGCUGUUACAGGUGUUGCAUGGCUGUCGUCAGCUCGUGUCGUGAGAUGUUCGGUUAAGUCCGCUAACGAGCGCAACCCGCGUUGUGUGUUAUAUGUGUCACACAAUACCGCCGGUAUUAAGCCGGAGGAAGGUGCGGAUGACGUCAAGUCAGCAUGACCUUUAUAUCCAGGGCUACACACACGCUACAAUGGACAGUACAACAGGUUGCCAAGCCGCGAGGCGGAGCCAAUCCUCUAAAGCUGUCCUCAGUUCAGAUUGCAGGCUGCAACUCGCCUGCAUGAAGUUGGAGUUGCUAGUAACCGCAGGUCAGCUAUACUGCGGUGAAUACGUUCCCGGGGAUU